Long non-coding RNA from Psammomys obesus (fat sand rat), 527 nucleotides. RefSeq lists it as uncharacterized. The transcript is spliced from 4 exons. The record is from RefSeq and is a predicted model, not a curated record. NCBI's taxonomy places the organism in Eukaryota, Metazoa, Chordata, Mammalia, Rodentia, Muridae.
GUGUCUUGCCUGGAAGGGCAAAGGGCUGGGUCCUCUGCUAGCCUCCAACAACUGACAGGAGUCUCAGUCACUAGACUGGCAGUCUCUAGGACUAUUGAAAGAACCCAGAAUCCCAAGCGGCUGGAGCCCUGGGGGCCAACCGGCCAGAGCCUUCCCUGGAGCAAAUCCUGAAGGAGAGGGAUGAAGCCAUUGCAAAGAAGCAAGCGGUGGAAGCUGAGCUGGACACCUGCAGAGCCAGGUUGCGCACAGUGGAGGCUCAGCUGCUGGAGGUCCUGCAGGAGAAACUGAGGCUGAAGCAGGAGGUGGAGGCCUGGGAGGAAGACAUGCAACGGAUGGUUCAGGAGCGGGUGCAGAGUCAAAUGCAGGGAGACUCCAGGGGUGCUCUGGGCACGCAAAAGAACACAAGUGCUGGCAGGGGCUCCUGGGCCCAACUCUCCCGGAGCCAGAGGGGACAAUGGUGGUGAAAACAGAUCCCAGAACUUUAAGGGAACUGUCUUUAUUCAUUAAAGUAUUGGAGCCCCUCUGUA